RNAcentral lists this ribosomal RNA (503 nucleotides) under uncultured bacterium. Its description in RNAcentral is "bacterial SSU rRNA". It matches the Rfam family "Bacterial small subunit ribosomal RNA", at positions 791 to 1301 of the family's 1533-position model. The record is from RNAcentral.
UAGUCCACGCCGUAAACGAUGGACACUGGCUGUUGGGAUUAAUCUCAGCGGCUAAGCGAAAGUGAUAAGUGUCCCACCUGGGGAGUACGAUCGCAAGAUUGAAACUCAAAGGAAUUGACGGGGGCCCGCACAAGCGGUGGAGCAUGUGGUUUAAUUCGAUGAUACGCGAGGAACCUUACCAGGGCUUAAAUGUAAUAUGACAGGACUAGAGAUAGUUUUUUCUUCGGACAUAUUACAAGGUGCUGCAUGGUUGUCGUCAGCUCGUGCCGUGAGGUGUCAGGUUAAGUCCUAUAACGAGCGCAACCCCUGCCGUUAGUUGCCAGCAUUUAAAGAUGGGGACUCUAGCGGGACUGCCGGUGCAAACCGAGAGGAAGGCGGGGAUGAUGUCAAAUCAUCAUGGCCCUUAUGGCCAGGGCUACACACGUGCUACAAUGGUAUCGACAAAGGGUCGCAACAUGGUGACAUGAAGCCAAUCCCAAAAACGAUAUCUCAGUUCGGAGUUG